AAGGUCAAGGGUCGGUUGAAGAUAUUAAGCAAGACUCUGCCGCCGGCAACAAAUUGCAAAGCAACCACCACCCGUCCAAUAGCAGCUGCUGCUCUGUCAAGCCAGCAUUUUUCUGUUACCUCUAACUCAUUAGUUAGAUGUUCAGGUGGCGGUAUACACCACCACCUGCAAUGGCCGUCGGCCGCCGUUUAACAAUUUUGCAGCCCUGAGUACUCUCAGGACCCGCCAGGUGACGGUGUCCACCGCCUCCUGCAACAGCCGGCAACACUUGGGGGCAAGCCCAAGAACCGGCCGUUUAACAAUUUCGCCGCCGAGUAGGAACUACAGACC
RNAcentral lists this long non-coding RNA (330 nucleotides) under Erythranthe guttata (spotted monkey flower). Its description in RNAcentral is "long non-coding RNA (EGUT_LNC001837)". The record is from RNAcentral. Lineage: Eukaryota; Viridiplantae; Streptophyta; Magnoliopsida; Lamiales; Phrymaceae.